AGUAGCGAGUAGUUUUUGACCUACAAAACCAGCUGUUUUGUUGAAAGUAUUGCGUCAAUUCCCAAAACAGCUUUUCAUCUUUCUUUUUCCUAAUCCUCUGUAAAAUUCUAGUGCACCAUCACUGUGACGUCAUCUUGGGUCACGUUUCAACCUUUGUAUUUUACCUUUACUCAGUUUUGACUACUGAUUCUGAACGACUGCAAUUUCACAUCUUACAAAUUCUAUAACAUUUCGUCGCUUGAAAGAAGCACUUCUAUAAAUACACUUUGAACAUUAACUAUGCUUUGAAGUAUAUGAAGUCAAAAAGUC
Non-coding RNA from Paramuricea clavata, 309 nucleotides. The record is from the annotation of a GenBank genome assembly. NCBI's taxonomy places the organism in Eukaryota, Metazoa, Cnidaria, Anthozoa, Malacalcyonacea, Plexauridae.